Molecule: long non-coding RNA, 248 nt
Filed under: Lathyrus oleraceus (garden pea)
Lineage: Eukaryota; Viridiplantae; Streptophyta; Magnoliopsida; Fabales; Fabaceae
Description: Pisum sativum (pea) long non-coding RNA (PSAT_LNC012420)
Source: RNAcentral
AGUGUGCCAAAGCCCAUAUUCGUUUAGAAACUGCCCUUAAGUCUAGGUUUUACCUAACAGGUCUUGUCCCAUUCUUUAUUUUGCCUCGAGCAAAUACUUGUGACCUUUUUUCCAUUACUUACCUUUCGUAAGUAUCCCAUGCCUUUUGCAUGGGAGGUAGUUACCUCCUUGCUUACAUUUGGUGAGUCCCCUUUGUGCCUUUCACAUAAAAAUUGAUAUCCCCAGCUGCUUACCUUUUAUAAGUCUCC